UUCCUACGGGACGCAGCAGUGAGGAAUAUUGGUCAAUGGGCGGAAGCCUGAACCAGCCAAGUCGCGUGAGGGGAGAAGGCCCUGCGGGUCGCAGACCUCUUUGGACGGGGAGCAAGGCCGCCGAAGUGUCGGCGGAAGGAGAGUACCAGGAGAACAAGCAUCGGCUAACUACGUGCCAGCAGCCGCGGUAAUACGGAGGAUGCGAGCGUUAUCCGGAUUUAUUGGGUUUAAAGGGGGCGCAGGCG
This 245-nucleotide ribosomal RNA is filed under the name uncultured bacterium. RNAcentral describes it as "partial 16S ribosomal RNA". It matches the Rfam family "Bacterial small subunit ribosomal RNA", at positions 336 to 577 of the family's 1533-position model. The record is from RNAcentral.